RNAcentral lists this unclassified non-coding RNA (391 nucleotides) under soil metagenome. RNAcentral describes it as "partial contains 5.8S ribosomal RNA, internal transcribed spacer 2, and large subunit ribosomal RNA". The stretch from base 1 to 122 matches the Rfam family "5.8S ribosomal RNA", at positions 35 to 154 of the family's 154-position model. The record is from RNAcentral.
GAUGAAGAACGUAGUGAAAUGCGAUACUUGGUGUGAAUUGCAGAAUCCCGUGAACCAUCGAGUCUUUGAACGCAAGUUGCGCCCGAAGCCACUAGGCCGAGGGCACGCCUGCCUGGGCGUCACACACCGUUGCCCCCCCAUCUACUCCUUCGGGAUUGCGGGGGGGCGGAUGAUGGCCUCCUGUGCGCCUAGCCGCGCGGUUGGCAUAAAUACCAAGUCCUCGGCGACGCACGCCACGACAAUCGGUGGUUGCGAAACCUCGGUUGCCCGUCGUGUGCGUUCGUCGCGCAUCGAGGGCUCGAAAAAAUGCUCGGCUCCGGCUGGGCUUUCAACGCGACCCCAGGUCAGGCGGGGUUACCCGCUGAAUUUAAGCAUAUCAAUAAGCGGAGGA